UUUCCGGUUGAUCCUGCCGGAGGUUACUGCUAUCGAGGUUCGACUAAGCCAUGCGAGUCGAAUGUAGCAAUACAUGGCGAACUGCUCAGUAACACGUGGACAACCUGCCCUUAGGACGGGUAUAAACCCGGGAAACUGGGUAUAAUACCCGAUAGGUCUCGAUUGCUGGAAUGCAUCGAGAUUUAAAGCUCCGGCGCCUAAGGAUGGGUCUGCGGCCUAUCAGGUAGUAGUGGGUGUAGCGUACCUACUAGCCUACGACGGGUACGGGUUGUGAGAGCAAGAGCCCGGAGAUGGAUUCUGAGACACGAAUCCAGGCCCUACGGGGUGCAGCAGGCGCGAAAACUUUACAAUGCUGGCAACAGCGAUAAGGGAACCUCGAGUGCCAGGUUACAAAUCUGGCUGUCGAGAUGCCUAAAAAGCAUUUCAUAGCAAGGGCCGGGCAAGACCGGUGCCAGCCGCCGCGGUAACACCGGCGGCUCGAGUGGUAACCGUUAUUAUUGGGUCUAAAGGGUCUGUAGCCGGCCGGAUAAGUCUCUUGAGAAAUCUGGCAGCUUAACUGUCAGGCUUUCAGGAGAUACUGUCUGGCUCGAGGCCGGGAGAGGUGAGAGGUACUUCAGGGGUAGGGGUGAAAUCUUGUAAUCCUUGAAGGACCACCAGUGGCGAAGGCGUCUCACCAGAACGGACCUGACGGCAAGGGACGAAAGCUAGGGGCACGAACCGGAUUAGAUACCCGGGUAGUCCUAGCCGUAAACGAUACUCGCUAGGUGUCGGCCACGGUGCGACCGUUGUCGGUGCCGUAGGGAAGCCGUGAAGCGAGCCACCUGGGAAGUACGGCCGCAAGGCUGAAACUUAAAGGAAUUGGCGGGGGAGCACCACAACGGGUGGAGCUUGCGGUUUAAUUGGAUUCAACGCCGGG
This 916-nucleotide ribosomal RNA is filed under the name uncultured archaeon. Its description in RNAcentral is "bacterial SSU rRNA". It matches the Rfam family "Archaeal small subunit ribosomal RNA", at positions 1 to 922 of the family's 1478-position model. The record is from RNAcentral.